This 367-nucleotide ribosomal RNA is filed under the name uncultured bacterium. Its description in RNAcentral is "bacterial SSU rRNA". It matches the Rfam family "Bacterial small subunit ribosomal RNA", at positions 527 to 896 of the family's 1533-position model. The record is from RNAcentral.
GGAGGGUGCAAGCGUUAUCCGGAUUUACUGGGUUUAAAGGGUGCGUAGGUGGGCAGGUAAGUCAGUGGUGAAAUCUUCAAGCUUAACUUGGAAACUGCCAUUGAUACUAUUUGUCUUGAAUAUCCUGGAGGUAAGCGGAAUAUGUCAUGUAGCGGUGAAAUGCUUAGAUAUGACAUAGAACACCCAUUGCGAAGGCAGCUUACUACGGGAUUAUUGACACUGAGGCACGAAAGCGUGGGGAUCAAACAGGAUUAGAUACCCUGGUAGUCCACGCCCUAAACGAUGGAUACUCGACAUCAGCGAUACACAGUUGGUGUCUGAGCGAAAGCAUUAAGUAUCCCACCUGGGAAGUACGACCGCAAGGUUG